ACGGAGGGUGCGAGCGUUGUCCGGAAUCACUGGGCGUAAAGGGCGCGUAGGCGGCGUUUUAAGUCGGGGGUGAAAGCCUGUGGCUCAACCACAGAAUGGCCUUCGAUACUGGGACGCUUGAGUAUGGUAGAGGUUGGUGGAACUGCGAGUGUAGAGGUGAAAUUCGUAGAUAUUCGCAAGAACACCGGUGGCGAAGGCGGCCAACUGGACCAUUACUGACGCUGAGGCGCGAAAGCGUGGGGAGCAAACAGGA
RNAcentral lists this ribosomal RNA (253 nucleotides) under uncultured prokaryote. RNAcentral describes it as "partial 16S ribosomal RNA". It matches the Rfam family "Bacterial small subunit ribosomal RNA", at positions 525 to 777 of the family's 1533-position model. The record is from RNAcentral.